RNAcentral lists this non-coding RNA (28 nucleotides) under Cricetulus griseus (Chinese hamster). The record is from RNAcentral. Lineage: Eukaryota; Metazoa; Chordata; Mammalia; Rodentia; Cricetidae.
UUUGCAGCAUUCCUGAGGGCUCAGGACC